UUGACGGAAACGUUUGCUGUGUAUUUUUAUUAUUAUCUUAGCAAGAUUUAUUGUUUAUUGACGCAUUAUACCUAAGUUUCGACGUUAAUAUAACGUUUCUCUAUAAAUAAUAGUAUUAUUUCUCGGUUCCGUGCAGUGAGUAUGUGGUAAAACCGUCAAAAUGAGGCGAGGUCAUUCUGGCAUCGGUGGAUGGCGGAAUGAGAAUCCAAGACAUUUUUGGCCUCGCGGAGGCGGUGUACCUCGGCAUGGGCCUCCCCAACAAUACCCUCUACUAGACCUACCCGCCAAAUAUGGAGGGCCAAGAAUGAACAGAGGAGGACCACAUUACAAUCCUCACAUGGGACCAAACCAUCGAAUGCGAGGAGUUGACCGUCGAUCAUUUGGACCACACGAUAAUCGGCCUCGUUUUCCAGGGCCCACUGACCGGUACAACUAUCAACCACCCCAUUUAAGAAAUGAUGACAACAGUGAUACACCAAAUUACAAAAAUUUAGUUAGUUACUGUGGGGGCAGAAGAAAUGAACAGACACACAUUAAUAGUAUGGGGGAUAUAGACCAUAGGCAAACCUUUAGUUCGCCUCAUACACAAAAACCUUAUGGCCAGCAUCCUAUUUCACCAUGGGCUAAACCUCCAACUGAAGACAGGGGGGCUAGUUAUGAUGUGAGAGGUCACAGACGACCAAGCCAAUACAAUGACAAUGUGGAUGGGAACAAUAUUCCCAAUUUUACAAGCCACAGACCACCUUCAUCUGACCAUUAUGGAACAAAUGUAGCUUCAGCUAUAGACAACUCGAAUUCAUUCAGCCGCUCUGUUGAUGAUACUGUAGAUAUUGUAAGAAGAAGGCUAUUAAAUCGGAAUGAAUCUCACACCAAUACAGAUCCUCCUCCUGAUCAGAACCCUAAUGAGCGGACAGAUUCCGAGGCAGUGUCAACCACAUACCAAAGUGAACCACAGACGCCUCCAACCAGAAAAAGGAUACAGAGACGAAGACAGAAUACCCAGUCUAAUUGUGAUAAAAUUAAAAACAAAAUUGUUCACCAGUUGUUCAAAAUGGACAAGGAAAAACUUAAUAAGUUGAUGGACAAUCCAAAUUCAUCUUCUAAGUUUGAAUAUGCCAUUAGUAGCCUUAUAACAGAGUCUCAAAACAGUUUGGAUAGACAUUUGAGGUCUGUUGCAGAGAAGUCGCUAUGUAGCUCUAGUACAGAAUUUAUACAUGAUGACCACAACACUAUAUAUGAAGAUACAUUUUUGAAACAAAUGCAGUGUAUCCUAGAACCUCAGGAUACAGUUUUGCUUGAAGAUAUCAAGCCGCUGGUAAUGGCAGAGUUAAACAAAGUUCUGCAAUUAGAUGAAUUUGAUCAGAAAUUUGAAAGAGGUGAUGUAGAUCUUAAUUACUAUGCAUCUGAAGAAUUGGCUAUCAAUACAGACUAUCCUAAUAACUAUGCAUAUGAUAACACAGAUUUUACUAAUGAUGUAGUGCCGAACUAUCCCGAAGAAGAGAACCACUCUUACUAUGAAGACAGGCAGUUUUCACCAACCAAUUUUCCUGAGCAAGACACUCCGGAAAGUCCAAGAGGGCAUGAGCAAAAUGAGCAGUACAACUAUGAGCAGCCUGCCAAGUUAUUUGAAAGAAGAGCAGCUAGAAAGAGUUGUGACUACAGCCAGCUCAAGAAGAAAAGUGCUGAAAGUCGUGACCAAAUGAGACGCAGCAUUGACGAAGAACGGAAUAGGUUUAAUGAUGCAAGACGUAAGCUAGUGACUCCACCACCAGUGUUUGCAGCAAAUGUAGAACAGCUAUCUGAAGAAGAAGACCCGUUCGCUGACUUAGACAAACAGUAUCAUGUUGCUGUUGACCACAAUUUUAUUGAAGCCGAAUUGGACAAACAAUACAUGGCUGCUAAUGAGAAAACCUGUGUCACAAAUGAGAAUGAAACAAAAAAACAACUAAUAAGCUCUGUUAAAGAUAUUUCACCAACGAAACCUAUCAAAAGGGAAGUUUUGCUUAGCCCAGAAAUAGACCCAGCUUCUAUAAAAAAGGAAAUUGAUAACCAGUUGCUGAAUAUUGCUAAAUCUCCUUUGAAAUUAUCUUCUUCCACUAAUAAAGUUCGGAGGAGUCAUAGAAGGACUCAUUCAAGAAGUGAGAAGAAGAUAGAUGUCACCGAUGUGUCCAUUCAUGACACCAGUCAUAGCAAAGAUGAUAACAAAGAAUUGAAUACUGAAAAUAUUAAGCUUGAAUACAAUCCAGAAGUUACAGACAGCCAAGAAAGUAUGAAGUCAGAAAACUCGAAUACAGUCAAGUCUACUAUUGCACUAAAUUCUCGGAAAAGAUCCAUUGAUCAAAAGCCUUCUCAUCGAAAAGAAAAACGCAAAAAGAGUGACAUCAGUCCUGAAGCAAAUAAACAGAUAUUAAAUAAAAAUAUUAUCAUAAAUGUUAAUGAUUGCGUAUCAAAGUCCACAGAAAAGAAAUGUGAUGCUGCUAAGUCCAUAUUCAAUUUAUUUUUCUCCAAGGACGAAAGUGGUAAAGAGUCACCAAAAGAGAGUAAAACUGUUGAAUCCAGUGAUAAAGCUUAUUCAGAUAAAUAUGUUAAGAGGAAAGAAACACCAAAAAAGAAAGAUAGUGGAGAUAAGAGGAAACAUUCCUCAAACAGUCAUUCCAUUGUUAGCCCUAUAGAUACCAAUAAUAGUUCUAGUGAAGCACAACCCAAAAUGGAUAUUAAGAAUAAGCUUAAGACAAUAGAUAUGUUUCACACUCAUCCAGUUAAAGUAUCUAAUGUGCACCAAGCACAUAGAAAUACAGCACAAGCACUAGCUUCUAAAAAAGAAGAUAAUAUUGACAAAAAUACACCACAAUCCAACAAGACAAUCAAACGACAUGUGGGGACGCAAAUGAUUCAUAAAUCACGUACUAAAGAAACGCAGACAACUUUGUCCAAAAGUUCAGUCUCAAGACUAUGUCAAACUGAAGUAAAAAAAUUGGCAACAAAAGCUAUUCAAACAGAUCCUGUUGUUAUCGAAAAGUCGUCUAUUAAAUCCAGUGACACCUUUGAAAGGAUGAAAGAGAUUGAUCUCGAAAUACAAGUAUUACUACAAGAGAAAUUUAAACUGUAUAAUUCUAUUGAAACAAAAGAAUCGUGUUCUAAUGCUAUACAAAAUUUGGGUAUGACUGUCUUAAAUGUUACUCCUAAUGAAGAUGGUAAAGAUGACGAAACUAAUGAUGAUGGUUUAUCAGAAGACGCCAUAGUGGAUAAUUUCACCAGUAUUCCAGUGGAGGAAUUGGAACAAAUUGCACUUGAAAGUGUGCAAGAUGUACCUAUUGAAUCCCCUAAAAAGACUAAACGAAGUCAACGUCGAGCCGUUUUAGAGAGGCAACGGAAAAGCGGCCUCCGGUUGUCAAAUCGAACUGUAAACACCGUUGUUGAUGUUGCCCAAAGUCCUACUGAUCGCAAUAAAAGCAAUAAGAAAACUGCUACUCCCAACAUAUCAUUAAUAGAGCAGAUUAUAACCGAUGACCGACCUUUAGAAGAUAUCAUAUCCCUUGACGAUUAUGAAAAUCCAGAAGCUCCAGUAACAAAGAAAAGCAAAUCUAAAAAGGCACAAAAAUCUAAAGCUAAAAAACAGCCACCAAAAAAAACUAAAUCUACCAAGCCUGCUGUCAAUCUCACUGAUUUCAUAUUAAAAGAAUGCCAAGUAGUUUUAACUAGAGAGGAUUUCAGCAAGUACCUGUCUAGUUCUGAGAAAUCAGAUGAACCACCAAAAGAACCUGUCAUAGUAAAAGAUGUGAAAUUAAAUGAGCCUGAACCUCAAAAAGUCGUAAUAAAAGUGCCAGAUGUAGUAGAACAACCAGUUGAUCCUACUGACAUGUUAGACAUGUUAGAUGUAUCGGAAGAUAUAGUUAUCGGGGACAAUUGUGAAGUUAAGUCAGGAGAGAAGGAGACAGAGAGAGUUUCGAUAGGUGAUGAUAUAAUUGUGGAUAACAGUCAGUCGUCUUCAGAUGAUGUGGUGGUAGUUGAGGGGCAAAGUGAGGAUGAGUGUAAGAUGUUCGACUACUCAUCGGAUGAGGCCCUAAAGCGGGAAUCUAUCACGGUCACUGGGAAUGCUGAUGCUGUGCUGGCAAUAGAGGCCAUAGACAACAACUUCAUAGCAGCAUGCCUAGACGGCAACGUGUACCAUUUCAACAGCGACGGUCAACUGUUGACCACAUUACGGGGGUCCAACUUGGCGGUCACGUGUCUGAUCGUCGUCAAGGAGAAGUAUGGGACCACUGUGUACACCGGCUCUCUGGACUCGAGGAUACGAUACUAUGAUUUGGAAACUGGGUUGGAAAAGGGUCCAGAAUGCAACGUGCUGAGCCCCAUCCAGACCAUGGACCGCGCGUGGGACACCGUGUACGUGGGCACCAGGACGGGCUUCGUCACGCAGUAUGAAUGCAAGAACAACAUGCUAAUACCGCGGAGUACAAUGAAAUUCUCGGAGCAGUCUAUUCUCGCCCUUCGCGCCCUGAAGGAGGGACCUAGAAAGGUGUUGCUAGUAGCAGCGCGCUCCGAAAACGUAACAAUCAAGGACGCCCAAACCGGGCUUCUGAUGCGGACCCUCGAGGGCCCGCGCAUGACGGUGUACACACUCGUGUUCGAGGAGGGCAAGGUCUACUGCGGGACCUCCAGCCACCAGAUACACGUGUUCGAUUAUAACAGCGGCUCCCACUGCGGCACGCACGAGGGCGGCAAGGGCGCCGUGUGCCUGCGCGCUACCGGCGGGCUGCUGUUCGCCGGCUGCUACGACGGCUGCGUGUACGUGUACCGCGAGGGCGGCACGAGGCCCGUAGCGCAGCUACGCGGCCCGGGGCUCAUGCUGCUGUCGCUCGCCGUCGUCGGCACUAAGGUGAGUGUAGCACACACACGGCCGCUACGACGGCUGCGUGUACGUGUACCGCGAGGGCGCCACGCGGCCCGUAGCGCAGCUACGCGGCCCGGGGCUCAUGCUGCUGUCGCUCGCCGUCGUCGGCACUAAGGUGAGUGUAGCACACACACGGCCGCUACGACGGCUGCGUGUACGUGUACCGCGAGGGCGCCACGCGGCCCGUAGCGCAGCUACGCGGCCCGGGGCUCAUGCUGCUGUCGCUCGCCGUCGUCGGCACUAAGGUGAGUGUAGCACACACACGGCCGCUACGACGGCUGCGUGUACGUGUACCGCGAGGGCGGCACGAGGCCCGUAGCGCAGCUACGCGGCCCGGGGCUCAUGCUGCUGUCGCUCGCCGUCGUCGGCACUAAGGUGAGUGUAGCACACACACGGCCGCUACGACGGCUGCGUGUACGUGUACCGCGAGGGCGCCACGCGGCCCGUAGCGCAGCUACGCGGCCCGGGGCUCAUGCUGCUGUCGCUCGCCGUCGUCGGCACUAAGGUGAGUGUAGCACACACACGGCCGCUACGACGGCUGCGUGUACGUGUACCGCGAGGGCGGCACGAGGCCCGUAGCGCAGCUACGCGGCCCGGGGCUCAUGCUGCUGUCGCUCGCCGUCGUCGGCACUAAGGUGAGUGUAGCACACACACGGCCGCUACGACGGCUGCGUGUACGUGUACCGCGAGGGCGGCACGAGGCCCGUAGCGCAGCUACGCGGCCCGGGGCUCAUGCUGCUGUCGCUCGCCGUCGUCGGCACUAAGGUGAGUGUAGCACACACACGGCCGCUACGACGGCUGCGUGUACGUGUACCGCGAGGGCGGCACGAGGCCCGUAGCGCAGCUACGCGGCCCGGGGCUCAUGCUGCUGUCGCUCGCCGUCGUCGGCACUAAGAUCAUCGCCGGAUACAAGGACAGGAGUUUGUACAUAUGGAAAAUUCCACUUAGCAUACUUAAAGAAAUGAUUUUGUAAAUUCUAUCGUCUACCAUACUUAGUGUUGUAGAUGUUUUGCACUGUUUUAACUGUGUGUUAGGUUAUUUUAGUUACGGGAACAUGUAUUUUACUUUACUAGAUCGUAAUCUUUUCAUUAAAGUUUAAUUAAAAUGUUAAUUGGUUUUAAUGUACUUGUUUUAUUUGUAUGAGAACUAAUAUUAAAAAUUUGCUAUUAA
Molecule: RNA transcript, 6064 nt
Organism: Cydia pomonella (codling moth)
Lineage: Eukaryota; Metazoa; Arthropoda; Insecta; Lepidoptera; Tortricidae
Exons: 8
Source: RefSeq, a predicted model, not a curated record